GUUUGAUUAUGGCUCAGAACGUACGCUGGCGGCACGCCUAACACAUGCAAGUCGAACGAAGUAGCAAUACUUAGUGGCAGACGGGUGAGUAACAUGUAGGUAUCUACCCUUUGGCCUGGAAUAACACGAGGAAACUUGUGCUAAUACCGGAUAAGUCUUUACGGAGAAAGCUUUAUGCACCAUUGGAUGAGCCCGCACUAGAUUAGUUUGUUGGUAGGGUAAUGGCCUACCAAGACUAUGAUCAAUAGCUGAUUUGAGAGGAUGAUCAGCCACAUUGGGACUGAGACACGGCCCAAACUCCUACGGGAGGCAGCAGUGGGGAAUCUUGCACAAUGGAGGAAACUCUGAUGCAGCGAUGCCGCGUGAGUGAAGAAGGCCCUUGGGUUGUAAAGCUCUUUCGUCGGGGAAGAAAAUGACUGUACCCGAAUAAGAAGGUCCGGCUAACUUCGUGCCAGCAGCCGCGGUAAUACGAAGGGACCUAGCGUAGUUCGGAAUUACUGGGCUUAAAGAGUUCGUAGGUGGUUGAAAAAGUUAGUGGUGAAAUCCCAGAGCUUAACUCUGGAACUGCCAUCAAAACUUUUCAGCUAGAGUAUGAUAGAGGAAAGCAGAAUUUCUAGUGUAGAGGUGAAAUUCGUAGAUAUUAGAAAGAAUACCAAUUGCGAAGGCAGCUUUCUGGAUCUAUUACU
Molecule: ribosomal RNA, 686 nt
Filed under: alpha proteobacterium IMCC10411
Lineage: Bacteria; Pseudomonadati; Pseudomonadota; Alphaproteobacteria
Description: bacterial SSU rRNA
Rfam family: Bacterial small subunit ribosomal RNA
Source: RNAcentral